AUGCUUCCUCCAGCAUAUAUGUACCGGCUCCUGUUCUUCCUGCUCGCAGGAGCUCUCCUGGUUUUGUGCUGGUCUCCCAUGAAGGAACCUACAAGAUCUAUAAUUUGCACCUCCUGUGGUGAAUUUGUUGACAAGACCUGCAGAAAGAAUCCAGGUUCCUGUCAAUCCAAACAUCCUGACUUUGCAUGCCAGACCAAAGAGGUGUAUAUUCAACAUUUCACUGGAGAAUACGUGUACCAAUAUUCAGUCCUGGGCUGUCCAAAGAGAUGUGUGGAAUACAUACGCUUCGCCAGGAGAGAGAAAAACAUAUUCUUCUGUUGUAAUGGCAACUACUGCAAUAGCUUGUCCGUAAAAGAUAAUGCUUCACUCAGUUCCAUCCCCCUACAGAAAUUUGCCUGAGAUACUCAGCUGAUUUGCAGAAACUUCCUUCUGACCACGUCCUGCCUGUUCCUUCCUGAACAAAUAUCAAGAUCCAGAAAUGCCUUCACUCUUAACCCCUGCUCACGCAGUCUUUUGAGAGCCGGGAAGCCAGGGAGAAAUGAGUUGUGGAUAAAGAAGGAAGGAGGUGGAUUUUGAAAUGCUGCCAGGGCCUGCGUCACAGCCAAUGGGAAAAGCAUGUGACUUUGCUGUUCUGGCUGGGAGCCAAACCUCGAGUCCGGGGACGGGGAUGGGAAAGAGGAGCAGACUGUGCUGGAACGUCUACACCCCAAAUGUGUAACAGUAACAACUCUAAUGAAUAGCAUGACCAUACACAAGGGGAAUCACAGACUAUUUUUAUGGUUGAUCAGAUAAGAAGGACGGGACACCAAGCAGAGAAUGGUCUGACAAAGGUCCCUAAAUUAUUUCCUAAAUCCUGUUAGGUCCCAGAUACUCUAGGCCUGGGUAUGUUCCAGAAAUAGGGUGCCCUAACAAAAACGGCCUGGCUUUCUGCAAGGGGAUCCUCUGCCUUGGGGCUGGUUAGGAUGGGGAGGUAUGAUGAGGAAAGUGGAAGGAAAAGUUUCUGGUUAUUGUAGUACUUAAGGAACACAAAUUCUGAAGAGGAUUGCUUGAGUUUGACCCUCACUCCAACUACCUUUCCCUAGAGGUUGCCAAGUAACAAGACAGCUCUUCCCCAGAAGUGCAUGUUGGUCACAUUUUUAAUAUCAGUCACCCAUAAUUUACUAUUAGCUCUGUGAAAAGAGAAAUCCUUUGAUGCUCAACUGAAGUCAUGUGUUCCUUUGACUCAUGAUCAGCUAAUAUUUUGGCUGAUUUUUUUUGAAUGCCAGAAGCUAAACAACAAACACACAAAAAGCCAACACACACACACACACACACACACACACACCCAUCUCUUCUAGUCUUUGCAGAAGUGGCUUUUCCACACUUGGAAAUUGGCCUUUCCUUCCACACUUAGCUCGGCUUGUUCUGAGCCUAGCAGUCAACCCAAAGUGAAAGCUUAAGGUCUUCUUAGUUGUUUCUGAAUGUGUGUUUUGCCUUGGUUAUGUGUAUAUGUGUGUGACUUUGGAAAUUCACCUGCAUAUACGCCUGUUUCUUUUCUUUUUUUUUUUGGAGACAGAGUUUUACUCUUGUUGCCCAGGCUGGAGUGCAGCAGUGUGAACUCGGCUCACUGCAACCUCUGCUUCCUGGGUUCAAGUGAUUCUCCUGCCCCAGCCUCCAAAGUAGCUGGGAUUACUGGCGCUCACCACCAUGCCCAGCUAAUUGUUGUAUUUUUAGUAGAGACGAGGUUUCACCACGUUGGCCUGGCUGGUCUUGAACUCCUGACCUCAGGUGAUCCAUCCGCCUGCUUCUUAAUUUUCAAAUUUUCCUAAGAAUCACACCGCAGCAUUUCCUCCAGGCCUUAAAGUCUUUUGUAUGUCUCAACCUGUAAUCGCUUGCCCCACAGGUCUGUGGGUCUUUAGUCUCCCUUGCAGUAUUUACAAGCAUUGCCCACUCCUGUUCCUGCUGGAGUCCUGAGCUCGGUGAAACACAUGUGAACAACUCACAUCAGUCCUUCAGGUAUCCCUCUGACAAGUUAUAAUAAACGUACACAAUAAUUUGAAAAUAAGGUUUUCUCUGCUCCCUCUGGCUUGAGCGGGAACUGGGAACUGGCCUGCUGCUGCUUCAAGACCUAGACGGCUGCCUUGCUGGGGAAGGGCUGGGAAAAGGGUGAGUAAAAAUGCUACAAAAUUUUUCUACCAUUUUAAAGACUUUUUUGUUUUUGAGACAGCAUCUCACAUUUGUUGCCCAGGCUGGAGUAUAGUGGCGUGAUCACAGCUCACUGCAGCCUUGACUUCCUGGGCUCAGGUGGUUCUUCCACCUCAGUGUCCCAAGUAGCUGGGACUAUAGCCACACACCACUACGACCAGCUAAUUUUUUGUAUUUGUAUUAGAAACAGGGUCUCAUCAUAUUGCCCAGGCUGUUCUCAAACUCUUGGGCUCAAGUGAUCCACCUGCCUCAGCCUCCCAAAGUGCUGGGAUUACAGGUGUGAGCCACCACGCCUGGCCAGAUUUUUUUUUUUUCUUGAUAGGGCAUUUACUUGGUUUCUGUAAACCAUUGACCAUUUUCCAGAGCCCCAACAUAGUUGGUUCUGACAAGUUAUGCUUGUUUUUUAAUGAUUCUGUAAGGCAACAAGGGCUUAGAGCUUCCUAGGUUGCCACUGUAUAAAUUCAUUCGCUAAAACAAAGCCGCUUUAAACAAUCAAUACAUUUUCAGCUAAAUAACACUAGAAGUCCAACAGGAUAUAGGACCGUAAGGAUGGCGUAAUCAGCAUCUCUGACUCUAUUUUUCUGGGAUUCUUCUAGGUCUGUUUUUAUUUCUGGAUGGGUUCAGACUUCUUUGCCUUCCUUCAUCACAGCAAAAUCUCUUUGGCAGUUCUGGGUCCCACACCUGAGCCCUACAGCACCCAGAGGAAGAAAUUCUCCAUGUUCCUAGUCUGUCAUCCAAACCCAGGGGAUUAACCCUAAUUCAGUGGUGCUUACACUUGGGUCUGUGACUUCAAAAGAUCUGUAAAUUGUCUUAAUUUAAUUUAAUGUAACUUAAUUUAGGAGAGCUAAGUAAUUAAACAUGAGGCCAAAGUACAUAAGAAAGCGGCAGCCCUUUAUUGCAAAUAUGCACACACUCUCGGGGGAGGUUCUCUGGUCCUCAGGUGUGGGGGUGAGGGGAGCCAGGGAAGUCGCGCCACCGCUCUCAGGUGAGACUCCCCGGCCCACGAAUGCGGAGGCCGAAGAAGUCAUGCGGGUUCCUGCCGCAGCGAACUUUUAUGCAUUGGUACUGGAAGGGGGCGGGCAGUGGGCGGGAUGAGGGCGUGUCGGGGGCGUUCCCUAGGUGCGGCCAGGUAAGUCUCGGUCUCUUCGGAUUGACGUCACCUGGCGCAUGCUCGGUUGAUCUGCAUCUUCCUGGGCGCCGGCUGCAUUUUCCCGUGCGCGGGUAAGUUGGUGAUGAAGAACCUGGAAACAACAGGUACUGCUCCAUCUUGUUCACCUUCCUCCAUUUUGUCCCUUCUCCCUCACCCAAACAUAAAUUUUCUGAAAUCAUAAUGUAACUGUAUUUCAGGUUCAGUCACUUGCCAGUUGCAGAGUCCAAUUAACAAAAGCAAGGUCUGGUAUAAAGAAAGUGACUUCGUAUUCCAAAUCUAGCUUAAGGAAAGAAGUACGGGAUUCCUCCCUUAAGGGUGCUGCUUCAGUUUUGGGGCAAAAAGCAGGGGCUUUUAAAGAGGAGAACUUGACACGAAUGGCAUGCAGGGGCGGGUGCGCACAGGUGGGGGUCUGCAUGACUCGCUUUGAUGCCUUAUCUGCUGGGUGAUUGAACGGGUGCCAUCAUGGGUAGAAGUAAGUUAUAAAGUGGCUGUUGUCUCAAGAUACUCUCCAGGUAGGAGAGAGUUUCAUAGCAGCCACAUUUUAGGUUGUAAAUCGACUAUUGUCUCUUGAAGCAAUGUCCUGGUGGGAGAAGUUUCUGCCUCUGGUGCUUUUAAGUAAGCAGCGGUUAAAUAAACUUGCCCUGUAGGGGUGUCUAGUGAAGGGAAGAUAAAGGUUAUAAUUGCAUUUCUAAAGAGAUAAGUAGGAAGUGGGGAACUGAAGAGAAGGAGGAAAGAGAAAAGAAGAAAAACAAUAAUGUAAAACCCUCAUUCUCUUUCUCUUAGAAAAAUGGGGGUGCUUGUUUAUAAUUAGACUCUGAUUAGUCCAGCUUGGGUCACAUGCCUAUCUCAAAACAAACUGGAAAUCCAAAAUGUGGUGAUGCUUUGAGCCAUGGUCUGUUUCUCCCGUGAAGACUGGAAUGACAUACCAUACCUCACCUGGAAUGACAUGGGUCCUGGAUAUCAAUCUGACAUCACUGGGAAGAGAGAAGGGAAAUCAUUCCUGGGUCCUACAGGGUUGCCCACUGCAUGCUCCUACAUACUUAUCCAAAUGGAGAAGUAGCCUGCUUGACUUACUGUCCUGGAUGAAAGAAACAAGUCACAGACAGAACCUCCAUUUUUAAAGUGACCUUUGAUAAUCUCCAUUCUGGCCAGUUUUCUGUUGAAGAAUACCCUAACAGUUUCACAAAUCUAGGACAAUCUCAGUAUGUACAUAAAAUGGGACGCUAAAUUUGGAGAAAAUAAAGAAGAAAAAAGUAAAAAAAGAAUAAAGAAGAAAGCAUAUCACCCAACACUUGGCUUCAAUCUCUCAUAGCAGCUUUAUCUUCUUAUAUUCCUUCUACUCUCCACACUUCUUACCCCCUCAUGUGUGUCAGUGCCUUAGCACAUGUUAAAAAGUAUGUUUGGCAUUUCCUUCCCUUUUGCUCUGACUGGUAGGUUUUUAUUCCUUCUUUAAGAUUCAGUUAAAUAUCAAUCUUCUAUGACCCCUUCUCCAGCUAAUCCAAGUAAGCAGAAUAAUGGCAUCCUUUGGGUUCCCCAAGCAGACUCUUCAUUCCUCUGUUUGAGCACUUAAUCUUAUUGAUAUGUGAUGAUUCAUUGUGAUGGCAUUUACCCCACUAGAUGAUCUAGAUUCAAUCUCCUGUGUAAUCACUGCAGUGUCUGGAACAAAUUGGAUGUUACAUAACUGUUUAUGUUAGUAAUUGAAUAAAUUACAGUAACA
Rhinopithecus bieti (black snub-nosed monkey) is the source of this 5051-nucleotide long non-coding RNA. Lineage: Eukaryota; Metazoa; Chordata; Mammalia; Primates; Cercopithecidae. The record is from Ensembl.